RNAcentral lists this ribosomal RNA (439 nucleotides) under uncultured bacterium. RNAcentral describes it as "partial 16S ribosomal RNA". It matches the Rfam family "Bacterial small subunit ribosomal RNA", at positions 339 to 795 of the family's 1533-position model. The record is from RNAcentral.
CUACGGGAGGCAGCAGUGGGGGAUAUUGCACAAUGGGGGAAACCCUGAUGCAGCAACGCCGCGUGAAGGAAGACGGAUUUCGGUCUGUAAACUUCUAUCAGCUGGGAAGAAAAUGACGGUACCAGACUAAGAAGCCCCGGCUAACUACGUGCCAGCAGCCGCGGUAAUACGUAGGGGGCAAGCGUUAUCCGGAUUUACUGGGUGUAAAGGGUACGUAGGCGGUUAUUUAAGUCCGAUGUGAAAGCCCGGAGCUCAACUCCGGGACUGCAUUUGAAACUGGGUAACUAGAGUACAGGAGAGGAAAGCGGAAUUCCUAGUGUAGCGGUGAAAUGCGUAGAUAUUAGGAAGAACACCAGUGGCGAAGGCGGCUUUCUGGACUGUAACUGACGCUGAGGUACGAAAGCGUGGGGAGCGAACAGGAUUAGAUACCCUUGUAGUC